RNAcentral lists this ribosomal RNA (459 nucleotides) under uncultured bacterium. RNAcentral's name for it is "partial 16S ribosomal RNA". It matches the Rfam family "Bacterial small subunit ribosomal RNA", at positions 338 to 795 of the family's 1533-position model. The record is from RNAcentral.
CCUACGGGAGGCUGCAGUGAGGAAUAUUGGUCAAUGGGCGGGAGCCUGAACCAGCCAAGUCGCGUGAGGGACGACGGUCCUAUGGAUUGUAAACCUCUUUUGUCGGGGAACAAAGGCGCCCACGGGUGGGCGGAUGAGUGUACCCGAAGAAAAAGCAUAGGCUAACUCCGUGCACGCAGCCGCGGUAAUACGGAGGAUGCGAGCGUUAUCCGGAUUUGUUGGGUGUAAAGGGUGCGUAGGCGGACCGUCAAGUCAGAGGUAAAAAUGCGGUGCUCAACGCCGUACAGCCGUUGAAACUGGCAGGCUUGAGUGGGCGAGAGGUGUGCGGAAUUCGUGGUGUAGCGGUGAAAUGCAUAGAUAUCACGCAGAACUCCGAUUGCGAAGGCAGCAUACCGGCGCCCGACUGACGCUGAGGCACGAAAGCGUGGGUAUCGAACAGGAUUAGAUACCCGUGUAGUC